This is a non-coding RNA of Aegilops tauschii subsp. strangulata, 1593 nucleotides long. The record is from RefSeq and is a predicted model, not a curated record. Lineage: Eukaryota; Viridiplantae; Streptophyta; Magnoliopsida; Poales; Poaceae.
UCACAUGAUUAAUUUAAUCUCUGUUAUUGCUGUCAUGAUUUAUCUUUUGUUCAUUCGGAUUAAAUCUCAUAGUAAUCUGCUCAUAUUUCCAACGGGUGAAAUCCUCCGUGGGAUUAUUGCAUUCUUCCUGCCUGUCCCUUCGCUCGUUCGCUACUCCGUUUCAGUGAGAAUAAACAACUCCCACGCGCGCAUCCGUACACCCGCUGCCCCGGCGUCCCCCUCCCCGGCCCGAUGGCCAACCCGCGCCUCCUCCUCCCCAGGAUCCUCUGCGUCGCCGCCGUCGCCGCCUUCUACGCCUGCCUCCCGGCGCCCGUCUCCGCCAUCCGUCUUGUUCAGGAAGGACAUUGGUUUUGCUGCACCCAUCAUCUGCAGGAGUACUGUUCAAGGCCGGCAUUUGAUAUCAGAUGAUAAUGGUUAUGUAUGUUCUGCUCUUUCGAUCGAUCCAUGGUCUCGCUGCUGCCCACGAACAGGAGGACGCUUCUCCUGUCAGGGCUGCAACCUUGAUUCGCAGUGCUGCAAUUCUUACGAGUAUUGUGUUUCUUGCUGCUUGAAUCCUUCUAGGACCAAGGAAGCAGAUGUGCUGAAGUUGAAGGUAGCUAAGCCAGUUACUGCUGGAACUUACACCAAUAUCUUCGAUUUCUGCAUGGGAAGAUGCCGCCAUAGUUCUGCAAGUGUGGUCCAUGAAAAUGCAUAUUUGAGUGAUUUCCAUCAUUGCUUUCUGGUGCAGCAAAAUUCAUCGGCAGGAUCAACUGAAUCUAAUUUUGGAUCAAGGUUGGAUGGCAUUAACGUCAUUUUGGGAAGGCAGGGGGAAUCGUGUAGUUCUGCAUGCAGAGCAAAAGGACAAUCAUGUGUUCCAAGCAGGCUUGCUGAGUUGAACAAAUGUCAGAUGGCUUUAAAGCAUGCUGUCGUUCUAAUCAGCUGUUUUGCUCCGUCCCAUAUCCGGUUACUCAAUCUGAAUAUGGAAGCAAUCUCUUUGCUGGAGAAGUUUCAGAUAUCUACACGCUUCCAAGUUCUGAAUUAUCAACUACUGCCUACUUGAUUAAGUGAAACAAUUCUAGCAGAAGUUUGUAAAUGACAAAGCAAAACACUUAAUUGGAGAAGAGACAGGAUCGUGGUGCAAUCUAUAUAGUGGAGUGAUGGAAUUUGCAGAAAUAUAUGAGAUGCAAAAAUGGUUGCUUUCCCAGUCUUGGGCCCGAUCAACCUGCCGAAGUUGUAGACGAAGCUCCAAAAAAUUUGAAUCCUGGAGCGUGCUUGUACAUGCAGAUGGAUGACCGCCUCACCUGUGAUGGCUCACAUCGACAUACCCGAAGGCUCUGUCCUUGUGCAUGAAACGGUGGAGAAAAUAGUGGCAGUCAUAAGAGAGUCACUUGCCAGGAAACAAGCGGAGGUAAUCCGCCGAAAGCUGACGGCUCAAAAUGGCAUGGCCAUUUCUGCACCGAGUUUCCAAAUGGCAUAUCGCCGAUGAAAAGAGAACAUAUUUUAGCUUUGCAGUUUAUCUUUUGCAUCUCUGGAUGCAAUCACCCAUGUCCAGAGCAAGCAGCUUCUCAAACACUUAUCUUUAUAGUAAUAUAUAUGGUCACAAAUUUGCAUGCA